GCGGUGGAGCAUGUGGUUUAAUUCGAAGCAACGCGAAGAACCUUACCAGGUCUUGACAUCCCUGACAACCCGAGAGAUCGGGCGUUCCCCCUUCGGGGGACAGGGUGACAGGUGGUGCAUGGUUGUCGUCAGCUCGUGUCGUGAGAUGUUGGGUUAAGUCCCGCAACGAGCGCAACCCUCGGCCUUAGUUGCCAGCAUUCAGUUGGGCACUCUAAGGUGACUGCCGGCUAAAAGUCGGAGGAAGGUGGGGAUGACGUCAAAUCAUCAUGCCCCUUAUGACCUGGGCUACACACGUGCUACAAUGGGCGGUACAAAGGGUCGCGAACCCGCGAGGGGGAGCCAAUCCCAAAAAGCCGCUCUCAGUUCGGAUUGCAGGCUGCAACUCGCCUGCAUGAAGCCGGAAUCGCUAGUAAUCGCGGAUCAGCAUGCCGCGGUGAAUACGUUCCCGGGCCUU
Molecule: ribosomal RNA, 454 nt
Filed under: uncultured Anoxybacillus sp.
Lineage: Bacteria; Bacillati; Bacillota; Bacilli; Caryophanales; Anoxybacillaceae
Description: bacterial SSU rRNA
Rfam family: Bacterial small subunit ribosomal RNA
Source: RNAcentral